CAUACCGCUCAGUAACACGUGGAUAACCUGCCCUGUGCUGGGGGAUAACCUCGCGAAAGUGAGAACAAUACCCCAUGGGUCACUAUGCCUGGAACGGUUAGUGGCUGAAAGCUCCGGCGGCACAGGAUGGGUCUGCGGCGUAUCAGGUCGUAGGGGGUGUAACGUACCUCCUAGCCUUCGACGCGUACGGGUUGUGAGAGCAAUUGCCCGGAGAUGGAUUCUGAGACACGAAUCCAGGCCCUACGGGGCGCAGCAGGCGCGAAAACUUGACAAUGCGAGAAAUCGUGAUCAGGGGACUCCAGUUGGCUGGAUCAAAAGCCAGUCUGAACCGACUUUAAAUGGUCGGGUAAUAGGGGCGGGAAAGACCGGUGCCAGCCGCCGCGGUAAUACCGGCGCCCCAAGUGGUCGUCACUAUUAUUGGGCCUAAAACGUCCGUAGCCGGUUUGGUAAAUCCGUGGGUAAAUCAGACAGCCCAACUGUCUGAAUUCUGCGGGGACUGCCAGACUUGAGACCGGGAGAGGUGCGGGGUACCUGCGGGGUACCGGUAAAAUGGG
Molecule: ribosomal RNA, 554 nt
Filed under: uncultured archaeon
Lineage: Archaea
Description: bacterial SSU rRNA
Rfam family: Archaeal small subunit ribosomal RNA
Source: RNAcentral